CCCACUGUUCGCGCUACCAUGCAGUCGGAGGUAGCACAGAGGAGCUUGUUCCUCGUGUGACGAGUGGCGCACGGGUGAGAAGUGUGUGGAGAUCUGCCAUAUAGAGGGGGAUAACCUGUGGAAACGGUGGCUAAUACCGCAUAACCUCACGAGACCAAAGAGGGGGAUCUUCGGGCCUCUCUCUAUCAGAAGAACCCAUAUGGUAUUAUCUAGUGCGGGGGGUAGCGGCCCCCCUACGACAAUACCCCUAUGUGGUCAGAGAAGAAGACCAGCCACUGUGGAUCUGACACACGGUCCACACCCCCACGGGGGGCAACUGUGGGGAAUAUUGCACAGUGGGCGCGCGCGUGAUGCACCCGUGCCGCGUGUAUGAAAAGGGUCUUCGGUUUGUAAAGUAUUUUCCGCGGAGAAGAGGGCUGUGGGGUUAAUACUUUUAGUGAUUGACUUUACCCGCAAAAAAAGCCCCGGAAAUCUCCGUGCCAACCCCCGCGGUAAUACAGAGGGUGCACGCUUUACUCAAAUUUAGUGGGCGUAACGCGCACGCGCGCUCUGUGUUGACUCAUAUGUGAACUCCCCGGUCAUAAUGUGAAAACUGCUUUUGACAGUGACGCGCUUGACUCUCAUAGAGGGGGAGAAAUUUCGGUGUGUAGCGGAGAAGUGCAUAGAUAUCUAGAAGAAUACCUGUCGAGAACGCGGCCCUGUGGAAAACACUGACUCUCGUGUGCGAGCGCGUGGAGAGCACAGGAGAAUAUACACUGUGAUACUACACGCCAUACACUAUGUCCACGUGGAUGGUGCUCUUGUGGAGAGUGUCUUCCAGAUCUCACGCGAAACUCCACCGUGUGGAGAGUAGGGCGCGGGAAAAACUCAUGUGAAUUGACGGGGCGCGCGCACGCGCUGUAGAUAUGUGU
Molecule: ribosomal RNA, 911 nt
Filed under: uncultured prokaryote
Description: bacterial SSU rRNA
Rfam family: Bacterial small subunit ribosomal RNA
Source: RNAcentral